UACCUAUGUAUGUAGAAACGUUAUUUUGCUAACUACUGAAUUGUUAAGGUAUUCCUUACAUACUGCUAAAAGUUUGACAAAUGAAACACAGAUUUCUUUGAGUGCAGGGAAAAGAGCCUGCGAGGAUAUCUCGGCCCUCCUGCAGAGGACCCUUGCAGUCGUACAGUCAUUAUCCUGGCGAGCAGAAGGGCAAGGCGUGCGUACCUCCGACCUUCCUGCCCCCCUCCACCACAUCUUGUCUCUUGCCCCUGCUACCUGUCAAACCGGUUUGGCCAAAAAGGGCCAAUCUCUCCCUCUAUCAGUCUUUUGGACGUGUCAAGACGGCCAUCGAAAACAGAAAUAAUCUCUUCGCUGGAACUCUGCAUCGGCCACAGUCCUCCGUCUGCGACUCCGACUCUGAAAUAUAGUGCGGCACAUAUAAUAAUCGAUUGGUUUUCGGCUGGCUCUUCCUCGUCAUCUUGGCCCUGGCCCUUACCGUCCUUUUCUCCGUUUUGCGCGUUGCGUACUAUGAUCACGAUCAUUAAAGCUGCCGCUGGGGCAUCACAGGUAGAAGCAGAAAGCCAGCGGAAAAGGUGCAACACGCAGUCGCUGUGCAAACGGGCCAAAUGCAAUCUCCGUGGGCAGAUGAGGCAGCUGAGGAUGAGGGAAAUGGCCCACGCACAUAUAAUGAUGUUUGGGCCAGCCCAGCGAAUUCGAAGUGCAUAGCUACUUGUCUUAUCUGCGGCCAGCAGAUACAAGAUACGGAUUAAUCUGCAUAUGGAAUACGCAUCCGCAAAUGGACACACCUGCCAAUUGAUGUCUUAACUCCAUAUUUACCCCCAAAUAAUUGAUUAAGCUUACUUCAGAUUAAGUUUAUCGUAGUCAGGGAAAGAUGAAAUUAAGUUUUACAGCUGCCACUCUAUACAUAUGUAUUAUUAAAUGUAUUAAAAUAUCUCUCCAUUAAGUUGCCAGGAUAUCGAUCUGGUGAUCUAAAUUCACUUCAUGUUAAUCCAAAACAUAGCUAUUAUGAUCUGAAAUGACCCAAUCGAUAAGGGCUGAAAAAAUCCCACAGCACUUCGCUGCAUCACCCAGUUGCAGAUUCAGAUGCAUCCAGAUUGAGCCAGUGUGCCAGCCCAGAGUGGGAUAAACAACACAACAACACAAGGCGCCGCCAUGAAGUCCAAUUGAUGCUAUCGCCAGCUCUGACCAAUUUGUGGCCUGCCCGCAUCUCUUCCAGCUCGCAUCGCUCCGUGGCUCUGACCUCUUGCCAGGAAAAAAGGGUGUGAUCCAUUGGAUGGGUGCUGGUAGCGGGAAUUUGGACACGGGCAUCAGAAGCUAUCGUCAAGCUGUGACAUAUUUGUUUCAGUAUAACAUCACAUAAUUUGCCUUUGAUCGCACACAAACAUGUGUUGACUGUUAUCC
Drosophila melanogaster (fruit fly) is the source of this 1401-nucleotide non-coding RNA. The record is from Ensembl. NCBI's taxonomy places the organism in Eukaryota, Metazoa, Arthropoda, Insecta, Diptera, Drosophilidae.